CCUGGCCGUCCUGAUGGGCAGAGGCGAAAGCAAACCACGAGCAGUAGCCAUCUCAAAAAGCUUAUUCAGAGGUUCCAUGGCCAGAUUGAAAAGACAGGGGGAGAUAGCGUCUCCUUGCCGAAGUCCACGUCUGUGAGCGAAAGGCAUCCCUUCAAUUCCGUUGCACAGGACUCCCCGGCUGCUUUCAGCCAUUAACAUAGGCAUAUGUUGAGGAGAAAUGUCACUCUUGUUUCAUACCUCAAAUUAAGAAAUCGAGAGGUGUGGAGGGUUUCCGGCAAGCGUUGCAUCCAGGUGGCCGCAUCUCCAUCAUGAUCGAGGAGGACGACGAGAUCGCCUUGACAAGAAACUUGAGCAGAGCCCUUGGGCAUUCCAGAAGAUAGAUCUACAUCUUUUGCCUCGCCAAUAUGAAGCCUGCAUGUGCAAAAUUAGAAGACUAAAUUGCUUCACUCCCUGACUUCUCUAGCAUUAUCAAGGUCAUUAAUGCAGCUGAGCACAAGAAAUCUUUAAUUGCUGGUGUUGGGUUUAGGGAUGUUCUUCAUUUUGAUGAUUUCCCAGUUCCUCGUUUUUCGCCAAAUGGAUCGCUGGGAAAGUGGAUGUCCAGAAUCAUGACAUUGUUGUUGGGGGCAGGAGUAUCCCUAUGAGUCCUUUAAUUUUCCACCAGAUCUUGGGUACUCCAUUUGGGUCCGAGGAUUCGAAGGUUUUAUUCCUGCAGUUUUUCAGGCUUAAUAGGCUUCCUCCUAUUAAGUCUUUUUGGGGAUAAGAUACUCGAUGAUGCACUAUCCGAUGAUGAGCUUAUUAGGUGCUUUUUGGUGGUAGUUCUGUCGAUUUUCAUUUGCCCCUCUUCUAGCACGCUUCCCACCACAAAGAUUUUAGGAGCUUUUGUUGGUAAUUGAUGAAAUUAAGAGUUAUGAUUGGUCCAAGUUUGGCUUUGAAUGGCUACUUUUAUGUCUCAAGAAAUUUCAGAAGGAAAUGCUCGGUACUUCCCAAGCUACAAUGACUCUUGGCGGUUGUAUCUACGAACUUGCUUGGCUGAGCAUGGGGGUCUUGACACUUCAGUCAGUGGUUAUGGUUUUGAUGGCCAAGUAGAUCGCAGUACCGGUUUUCGGCGCACUCGUUCAUGUGGUCGCAACCGGUUCUUCAUGGCCUUGGUUGUGGUCGUGGUUGGGGCCGGAUCAGCGUCUUAGCCGGAAAAGGUGAUGAUGGCUAUGGCAGUCGUGGGUACCAACUUUGCAUGAGGAACUGAUGUGGUGUCCAUUGUCUAGUAGUAAGGUUUAAGGACAUGAAAGUCCUCAAUCUGAUAGACGAAGCAACGGUUGCCGAUGAUUUUGGCAAUGCAGCGGCGUCCAGUUUGAUGACGCCGUCUAUUAUUGUUACCAAUUAUGAGGUGACACAAAAGCGAUAGGUUAGAAUCCUUUGUUUUUCUGACUUGUUGUCAUUUUGAGUUUGUAAUAGUUGAGAUCGAUCGUUUUUUGCGACUUAAUAAUAUUACGAAUGUGUACAUUG
Long non-coding RNA from Brachypodium distachyon (stiff brome), 1503 nucleotides. RefSeq lists it as uncharacterized. Lineage: Eukaryota; Viridiplantae; Streptophyta; Magnoliopsida; Poales; Poaceae. The record is from RefSeq and is a predicted model, not a curated record. The transcript is spliced from 3 exons.